GCGCCUACAAGCGGUGGGAGCAGACUUGUUCUGUGACCGCGUGCUUUUUGCAUAACGAGCCGGCGAGUUACUCGUCUGCGGCAAGGUUAAGCGAUGAGCGGAGCCGUAGCGAAAGCGAGUCCGAAUAGGGCGAAUUAGUCGUAGGCGGUAGACCCGAAGCUGAGCGAGCUACCCAUGGGCAGGUUGAAGCGGGGGUAAGACCUCGUGGAGGACCGAACCGACCUAGGUUGAAAACUGGGCGGAUGACCUGUGGGUCGGAGUGAAAGGCUAAUCAAGCUCAGUGAUAUCUGGUUCUCUCCGAAAUAUAUUUAGGUAUAGCCUCGGAUAAAUUCCGUGGCGGCCGUAGAGCACUGUUUGGACUAGGGGCCCUACCAGGUUACCGAAUUCAGGCAAACUCCGAAGACCGUCACGGCUACUCCGGGAGUCAGUUGCUGGGGGAUAAACUUCAGCGUCAAAAGGGAAACAGCCCAGACCGCCAGCUAAGGUCCCUAAGUACUAGCUAAGUGGUAAACGAUGUUCGAGUGCAUAGACAACCAGGAGGUUGGCUUAGAGGCAGCCACCCUUGAAAGAGUGCGUAACAGCUCACUGGUCAAGUGUUCGAGCGCGGACAAUGUAACGGGGCUCAAGCUAGUCACCGAAGCUGCGGGUGCGAUAUUUAUAUCGCGCGGUAGGAGAGCGUUCCCAGGGCAGUGAAGCGGCGGGGUAACCCAGCCGUGGAGGCCUGGGAAGUGAGAAUGCCGGCAUAAGUAACGAAAGAAGGGUGAGAAUCCCUUCCACCGAUUGCCCAAGGAUUCCUGAGUAAAGUUCGUCUGCUCAGGGUUAGUCAGGACCUAAGGCGAGGCCGAAAGGCGUAGUCGAUGGCCAACGGGUUGAUAUUCCCGUACCACGUCGCGUUCGUUUGACCGAUGGGGGGACGAGGAAGGCUAUGGGAGCCCAGGCGAUAGUUGCCCUGGGGUAAGCGUGUAGGGGUGGUUCUAGGCAAAUCCGGAACCGCAUUAACCCGAGGCGCGAUGCCAGCUGGCUUUAAGCCGGCGAGUCCCGGACGCCAAGCCUCCAAGAAAAGCCUCUAGGGAGAACGCGCGUGCCUGUACCAAAACCGACACAGGUGGGCAAGUGGAGAACACUAAGGUGAUCGAGAUAACCCUCGUUAAGGAACUCGGCAAAAUCGCCCCGUAACUUCGGGAUAAGGGGCGCCCCAGUAGGGUGAAGCACUUCGCGUGUGGAGCCUGAGAGGGCCGCAGUGAAUAGGUUCAAGCGACUGUUUACCAAAAACACAGGUCUCUGCUAAGUCGUAAGACGACGUAUAGGGGCUGACGCCUGCCCGGUGCCGGAAGGUUACGUGGAGGUGUUAGGCGCAAGCCGAAGCACCGAAACUAAGCCCCGGUAAACGGCGGCCGUAACUAUAACGGUCCUAAGGUAGCGAAAUUCCUUGUCGGGUAAGUUCCGACCUGCACGAAUGGCGUAACGACUUGAACGCUGUCUCAACGAGGGGCUCGGUGAAAUUGCAGUCUCGGUGAAGAUGCCGAGUACCCGCGGCUAGACGGAAAGACCCCGUGAACCUUUACUACAACUUGGUAUUGAGGUUCGAUGCAUCUCGCUCAGGAUAGGUGGGAGGCUUUGAAGCGCUGGUUGCGGCCGGCGUGGAGCCAACCUUUAGAU
RNAcentral lists this ribosomal RNA (1659 nucleotides) under metagenome. RNAcentral describes it as "bacterial LSU rRNA". It matches the Rfam family "Bacterial large subunit ribosomal RNA", at positions 560 to 2198 of the family's 2925-position model. The record is from RNAcentral.